CCUACGGGGGGCAGCAGUAGGGAAUAUUGCUCAAUGGUGGAAACCCUGAAGCAGCAAAGCCGCGUGGAGGAUGAAGGUUUUAGGAUUGUAAACCCCUUUUGUUAGAGAAGAUUAUGAUGAUACCCAACGAAUAAGCACCUGCUAACUCCGUGCCAGCAGCCUCGGUAAUACGGAGGGUGCAAGCAUUACUCGGAAUCACUGGGCGUAAAGGGUGCGUAGGCGGGGUAAUAGGUCAGAUGUGAAAUCCUGUAGCUUAACUACAGAACUGCAGUUGAAACUGUUACUCUGGAGUGUGAGAGAGGUAGGUGGAAUGCGUGGUGUAGCGGUGAAAUCCAUAGAGAUCAAGAAGAAUACUCAUUGCGAAGGCGACCUGCUGGAACCUUACUGACGCUGAUGCACGAAAGCGUGGGGAGCGAACAGGAUUAGAUACCCGAGUAGUC
Molecule: ribosomal RNA, 440 nt
Filed under: uncultured bacterium
Lineage: Bacteria
Description: partial 16S ribosomal RNA
Rfam family: Bacterial small subunit ribosomal RNA
Source: RNAcentral